Molecule: ribosomal RNA, 721 nt
Filed under: uncultured Bacteroidota bacterium
Lineage: Bacteria; Pseudomonadati; Bacteroidota
Description: bacterial SSU rRNA
Rfam family: Bacterial small subunit ribosomal RNA
Source: RNAcentral
CUAGCGGCAGGCCUUAUACAUGCAAGUCGAACGGUAACAUUGGUGCUUGCACCAGAUGACGAGUGGCGCACGGGUGCGUAACGCGUAUGCAACCUACCUUUUACUAGAGUAUAGCCCAGAGAAAUUUGGAUUAAUCCUCUAUAACAUCUUUUAAUUUCAUGAUUAAUAGAUUAAAGUUUUAAUGGUAAAAGAUGGGCAUGCGUCCUAUUAGUUUGUAGGUGAGGUAACGGCUCACCUAGACUACGAUAGGUAGGGGCCCUGAGAGGGGGAUCCCCCACACUGGUACUGAGACACGGACCAGACUCCUACGGGAGGCAGCAGUAAGGAAUAUUGGACAAUGGACGAAAGUCUGAUCCAGCCAUGCCGCGUGCAGGAUGAAAGCCCUAUGGGUUGUAAACUGCUUUUAUACAGGAAGAAAAACUCCGACGUGUCGGAGGUUGACGGUACUGUAAGAAUAAGGAUCGGCUAACUCCGUGCCAGCAGCCGCGGUAAUACGGAGGAUCCAAGCGUUAUCCGGAAUCAUUGGGUUUAAAGGGUCCGCAGGCGGUCUUUUAAGUCAGAGGUGAAAGCCUACAGCUCAACUGUAGAACGGCCUUUGAUACUGAAAGACUUGAGUUAUUGUGAAGUGGUUAGAAUGUGUGGUGUAGCGGUGAAAUGCAUAGAUAUCACACAGAAUACCAAUUGCGAAGGCAGAUCACUAACAGUAUACUGACGCUCAUGG